CAGCCCCAGCCAGUGGCUAGGGCAGGGCUGCCUGGGUACCCUUCUCCUGCCAAGGCAACUCCUGGGGUCACUGUAGCCGGUAGUCCUGGCAUGGACUGCUCAGGAGGGGUCCUACUGUGGAUGGCAACAGUGUUUCCUACUGCCAAGGCAACAGUGUCUCCUACAGCCAGUGGAGCAGUGUUUCCUACAGUGGGUGGCAGCAGCGUCUCCUACUGCUGAUGGAAGAAUGUCUCCUACUAUGGAUGGCAACAGUGUCUGCUACAGUGGAUGGCAGCAGUGUUUCCUACUGCCAAUGGAAGUGUUUCCUACUGCCAAUGGAACAGUGUUUCCUACUGCUGAUGGCAACGGUGUUUCAAGGAGGAAGGCACUGGAACCCUGAGAGGGGCAGAGAUGUGCCCAGCUGGCACAGCCAGCAUGUGGUGGAGUCAGAACUGCCCAGCUCCAGACCCUUGUUCUCCCUCACCACACUCACUGCCAGUAACCCAGCUGCUGCCACACCCUCCACCCUCUCAAGUGCUCCUAAGGAGAAGGCCACCUGAACUCUGGACACAAGAAACAAGCCCUCUGGAUAAGUUACAAAAUGCUACAGCCCAUCAGUCUCCAAGAACAGAAGACUCCAGCAAUAUGUAUGGUUCUUUACCUGUCCCCACGGCCUCUGUCUUAGCCUGGAUGGACCAUGAUCCCUGUCUGUCUUUUGGUGCUAAUGUUCUCUCGCCUGCCUGCCUCCCGUCUCCCUGCCCUCUCUGAUUCAUUCUCUUUGCUUCAAACUGUGUCACAGUUUAAAUGAAAGUUGCCAGGGAAAAACUUUUUAUAAAUUAAAAAAAAAAUGUAUCACAGCACUAUCUUUUCUAAACCCUAUUGUCCUUGAGACAAAGCCCCAUAUUCUCACACAUACACAGACUCUCCUGCCUGAGUACUCUUCCCUCUGCCUCAACAUUCUUGCCCCAACUAAUCCCUGCUGGACUUUCAGGUUUCAGCAUCUGCACUGCCCACUCGAGAAGCCUUCCCUGGUUCCCCACCCCAACUCCAAGGUUAGAUGUCUGCCCUAAUUCUCUACCAUGGCAUUUCUCUACUGGUUACUGUUACCAGUUAAUUAUAGGGAGUCCAAGAGGGAGACUCCCCCAUCUGUAUUGCCCACAUUACACCCACAGGGUGCAGCACAGUGCCCAUGUCACCAACAAAUAGUUUUUAAGCAUCUAUUAAAUGUCAGGCACCACAACUGGCCCUGGGAAAAUGAUGGAGACUUAACAAAGUUCUCCUCUUCAUAGAAUUUACACUCUUGGUUUGUGUAUAUUCUAAAGUUAUUGCGGGCUGGAUGUGGUGGCUUACGUCUGUAAUCCCAGCACUUUGGGAGGCCGAGGCAAGUGGAUCACCCAAGGUCAGGAGUUCAAGACCAGCCUGGCCAACAUGGUGAAACCCCAACUCCACUAAAAAUGCAAAAGAACUAGCUGAGUGUGGUGGUGUGCACCUGCAGUCCCAGCUACUUGGGAGGCUGAGGCAGGAGAAUUGUUUGAGUCCAGGAGGUGGAGGUUGCAGUAAGCCAAGAUUGCGCCACUGCACUCCAGCCUGGGUGACAG
Molecule: non-coding RNA, 1577 nt
Organism: Callithrix jacchus (white-tufted-ear marmoset)
Lineage: Eukaryota; Metazoa; Chordata; Mammalia; Primates; Cebidae
Source: RefSeq, a predicted model, not a curated record